AACAAAGUGAAAUUACACCUGUUAGUCUGUUAACUUAGUCCACUUU
RNAcentral lists this transfer RNA (46 nucleotides) under Leptobrachella khasiorum. RNAcentral's name for it is "tRNA-Val". Lineage: Eukaryota; Metazoa; Chordata; Amphibia; Anura; Megophryidae. The record is from RNAcentral.